This is a non-coding RNA of Manis javanica (Malayan pangolin), 249 nucleotides long. Lineage: Eukaryota; Metazoa; Chordata; Mammalia; Pholidota; Manidae. The record is from RefSeq and is a predicted model, not a curated record.
AUCAGCGCGCCUGCGCAGCCGCAGAACUUCCCCCGCCCCUCUGGCCACCGCCACCGCUGCUGCCGCUGCUGUACUGACGGCGGGUGCCAACACUUCAGAGUUACUGCUUUCUUCUUGAGAAUCCUCUCAUCUGUCCUCAUGGAUGAACUCCAGGAUGUUCAACUCACAGAGAUCAAACCACUUCUAAAUGAUAAGAAUGGUACACGAAACUUCCAGGACUUUGACUGUCAGGUAAGGACUGUACAAGCA